CAAAGUGUAGCUUAAACUAAAGCACCUGGCCUACACCCAGGAGAUUUCAUUAUUAUGACCACUUUGA
RNAcentral lists this transfer RNA (67 nucleotides) under Elephantulus fuscipes (Dusky-footed elephant shrew). Its description in RNAcentral is "tRNA-Val". It matches the Rfam family "tRNA". Rfam says of the family: Transfer RNA (tRNA) molecules are approximately 80 nucleotides in length. Their secondary structure includes four short double-helical elements and three loops (D, anti-codon, and T loops). Further hydrogen bonds mediate the characteristic L-shaped molecular structure. tRNAs have two regions of fundamental functional importance: the anti-codon, which is responsible for specific mRNA codon recognition, and the 3' end, to which the tRNAs corresponding amino acid is attached (by aminoacyl-tRNA synthetases). tRNAs cope with the degeneracy of the genetic code in two manners: having more than one tRNA (with a specific anti-codon) for a particular amino acid; and 'wobble' base-pairing, i.e. permitting non-standard base-pairing at the 3rd anti-codon position. Lineage: Eukaryota; Metazoa; Chordata; Mammalia; Macroscelidea; Macroscelididae. The record is from RNAcentral.